UUACGACCGUAUCACGUUGAAACAUUGGUUCUCGUACGAUCACCGAAGUUAAACAACGUUGAGCCUGUCUAGAACCUAGAUGGGUGACCGCUUUGGAAUACCAGAG
Non-coding RNA from Acanthosepion pharaonis, 106 nucleotides. Lineage: Eukaryota; Metazoa; Mollusca; Cephalopoda; Sepiida; Sepiidae. The record is from the annotation of a GenBank genome assembly.